RNAcentral lists this ribosomal RNA (383 nucleotides) under uncultured bacterium. RNAcentral describes it as "bacterial SSU rRNA". It matches the Rfam family "Bacterial small subunit ribosomal RNA", at positions 29 to 407 of the family's 1533-position model. The record is from RNAcentral.
AGUGAACGCUGGCGGCAGGCCUAACACAUGCAAGUCGAACGGCAGCACAGCAGUAGCAAUACUGUGGGUGGCGAGUGGCGGACGGGUGAGGAAUACAUCGGGAUCUACCUUUUCGUGGGGGAUAACGUAGGGAAACUUACGCUAAUACCGCAUACGCCUACGGGGAAAGCGGCGGACCGCAAGGCGUCGCGCGAUGAGAUGAACCGAUGUCCGAUUAGCUAGUUGGCGGGGGUAAAGGCCCACCAAGGCGACGAUCGGUAGCUGAUCUGAGAGGAUGAUCAGCCACACUGGAACUGAGACACGGUCCAGACUCCUAUGGGAGGCAGCAGUAGGGAAUAUUGGACAAUAGGGUGUAAGCCUGAUCCAGCCAUGCCGCGUGCAGG